AAAUGUACCAAAAUUUAUAUUAACCUUUCGAACAAGCCUACAGUAAUUCAACUGAACACAAAACAAAGUGUCUCAUCUCACUCUGACCAAUAAAUAGGCAGAAGCAGCAAUGGCCACAAUCAGUCCACUUUCCCUGUAACAGUGCAGAUAGCGGUUAUUGAAAU
Thalassophryne amazonica is the source of this 164-nucleotide long non-coding RNA. RefSeq lists it as uncharacterized. The transcript has 2 exons. Lineage: Eukaryota; Metazoa; Chordata; Actinopteri; Batrachoidiformes; Batrachoididae. The record is from RefSeq and is a predicted model, not a curated record.